Molecule: non-coding RNA, 69 nt
Organism: Eragrostis curvula (weeping love grass)
Lineage: Eukaryota; Viridiplantae; Streptophyta; Magnoliopsida; Poales; Poaceae
Source: the annotation of a GenBank genome assembly
GCAACACAGCGCAGUGGUAAGGAGCGCAAGGCACAUCACUGAGGUCGCGGGUUCGAUACCCGCGUCGCG